This is a long non-coding RNA of Lepus europaeus (European hare), 685 nucleotides long. RefSeq lists it as uncharacterized. The record is from RefSeq and is a predicted model, not a curated record. The transcript is spliced from 3 exons. Lineage: Eukaryota; Metazoa; Chordata; Mammalia; Lagomorpha; Leporidae.
AAAAAGAAUGUAAGCUAGGUGAUUUUAUCCAUACAAAAUUCUCUAUGUGAUGGAAAGCAGAUCAGUGGUUAUUUGGGACAGAGGUAGAAGGAAGGAUGGAUUGCAAGGGUGCUCUGGGUUGAAUCUAUCCUGUCAAAUUUCAGAUACUGGAGUCCUGAUCUCCGUGGUGGUGGCAUCAGGAGGUGGGGCCUGAGGGAGGUAGAGCCUUCGUGAAUGGCAUUGGUGCCCUUGCAGAAGAGACCCCAGGGAGCUCACUGACCCUCUGCGGACUGAGAAGACGGCUGUCUCCGGAGAAGUGGCCCUCACCAGACACCUUGAUCCUGGACUGCCCAGCUUCCAGAAAUGAGUAGCAACCCAGCCUUGGUGAAGCAAAUGAUGACACCCUCAGGGUGGCAGAGCAACAGGCUGACUGCACCUGUUCACAGCAGCAUGACUUCAGUGACCUGGCUGUGUUUGCCAACAUUGAUGACGAGCCAGGGUUUGACUUGGUGCCCACUGCGAAUGACGUCCUUCAGUAGAUCUCCAAGAACUGCAGCAAAUGCUUUUCUGGGCUUAUUUUAGCAUCAGAGGGAUUUUGAAACAAGGUUUGAACAUUUAGCUUUGUCAUUUGGGGACAGUGCUUUGCGACAGCUGUGGAUUUACAAUUUCUUUCUUUCCUUCGUUGUAAGAAGACAGGAGCCAGGAG